This is a long non-coding RNA of Oncorhynchus keta (chum salmon), 147 nucleotides long. RefSeq lists it as uncharacterized. Lineage: Eukaryota; Metazoa; Chordata; Actinopteri; Salmoniformes; Salmonidae. The transcript has 3 exons. The record is from RefSeq and is a predicted model, not a curated record.
UGCAGGCUUUCAGCCAUUCUAAACACCUGGCGUAGGAGGUACAUGCAGGCUUUCAGCCAUUCUAAACACCUGGCGUAGGAGGUACAUGCAGGCUUUCAGCCAUUCUAAACACCUGGCGUAGGAGGUACAUGCAGGCUUUCAGCCAUU